Molecule: non-coding RNA, 148 nt
Organism: Homo sapiens (human)
Lineage: Eukaryota; Metazoa; Chordata; Mammalia; Primates; Hominidae
Rfam family: Metazoan signal recognition particle RNA
About the family: The signal recognition particle (SRP) is a universally conserved ribonucleoprotein.
Source: Rfam
GCUAGGUGUGGUGGCGCACGCCUGUAGUCCCAGCUACUUGGGAGGCUGAGGUGGGAGAAUUGCUUGAACCCAGGAGGCAGAGGUUGAAGUGAGCUGAGAUUGUGCCACUGCACUCCAGCCUGGGCAACAGAGCGAGACUCCACCUCAA